This 680-nucleotide ribosomal RNA is filed under the name uncultured Actinomycetes bacterium. RNAcentral's name for it is "bacterial SSU rRNA". It matches the Rfam family "Bacterial small subunit ribosomal RNA", at positions 241 to 923 of the family's 1533-position model. The record is from RNAcentral. Lineage: Bacteria; Bacillati; Actinomycetota; Actinomycetes.
UACGCUUGUUGGUGGGGUAAUGGCCUACCAAGGGCGACGACGGGUAGCCGGCCUGAGAGGGCGACCGGCCACACUGGGACUGAGACACGGCCCAGACUCCUACGGGAGGCAGCAGUGGGGAAUAUUGCACAAUGGGCGAAAGCCUGAUGCAGCGACGCCGCGUGAGGGAUGACGGCCUUCGGGUUGUAAACCUCUUUCAGCAGGGAAGAAGCGCAAGUGACGGUACCUGCAGAAGAAGCGCCGGCUAACUACGUGCCAGCAGCCGCGGUAAUACGUAGGGCGCAAGCGUUGUCCGGAAUUAUUGGGCGUAAAGAGCUCGUAGGCGGCUUGUCACGUCGGAUGUGAAAGCCCGGGGCUUAACCCCGGGUCUGCAUUCGAUACGGGCUAGCUAGAGUGUGGUAGGGGAGAUCGGAAUUCCUGGUGUAGCGGUGAAAUGCGCAGAUAUCAGGAGGAACACCGGUGGCGAAGGCGGAUCUCUGGGCCAUUACUGACGCUGAGGAGCGAAAGCGUGGGGAGCGAACAGGAUUAGAUACCCUGGUAGUCCACGCCGUAAACGUUUGGGAACUAGGUGUUGGCGACAUUCCACGUCGUCGGGUGCCGCAGCUAACGCAUUAACUUCCCCCGCCCUGGGGAGUACGGGCGCAAGGGUUAAAACUUCAAAGGAAUUUGACGGGGGCCCC